AUUGAACGCUGGCGGCAGGCUUAACACAUGCAAGUCGAGCGAGCGGCGGACGGGUGAGGAAUGUCUGGGAAACUGCCUGAUGGAGGGGGAUAACUACUGGAAACGGUAGCUAAUACCGCAUACCAUCAGAUGUGCCCAGAUGGGAUUAGCUUGUGGGUGGGGUAAUGGCUCACCUAGGCGACGAUCCCUAGCUGGUCGGAGAGGAUGACCAGCCGCACUGGAACUGGGACACGGUCCAGACUGCUUGGGGAGGCACCAGUGUGGAAUCUGGCGCAAUGGGCGCAAGCCUGAUGCAGCCGUGCCGCGUGUGUGAAGAAGGCAUUCGGGUUGUACAGCAAUGUCAGCCGGGAGGCGUUACUCACAGAAGAAGCACCGGCUAACUCCGUGCCAGCAGCCGCGGUAAUUC
RNAcentral lists this ribosomal RNA (406 nucleotides) under uncultured bacterium. RNAcentral's name for it is "partial 16S ribosomal RNA". It matches the Rfam family "Bacterial small subunit ribosomal RNA", at positions 30 to 526 of the family's 1533-position model. The record is from RNAcentral.